This is a small nuclear RNA of Octodon degus (degu), 104 nucleotides long. Lineage: Eukaryota; Metazoa; Chordata; Mammalia; Rodentia; Octodontidae. The record is from Ensembl.
AUGCUCGCUUUGGCAGCACACAUACUAAAACUGGAUCGAUGCAGAGAUUAGCAUGGCCCCUGCGCAUGGAUGACAGGCAAAUCCGUGACGCAGUCCAUAUUUUU